RNAcentral lists this long non-coding RNA (222 nucleotides) under Lathyrus oleraceus (garden pea). RNAcentral describes it as "Pisum sativum (pea) long non-coding RNA (PSAT_LNC012253)". Lineage: Eukaryota; Viridiplantae; Streptophyta; Magnoliopsida; Fabales; Fabaceae. The record is from RNAcentral.
CAUCAGCAGAUAAACAGCAUAACAGCAGUUUAAACAGCAGCAGAAGCAAACAUAAUUACUAGCUAUAAUAGCAACUAGUAAUACACACAUAUGCACAUGUAAAACACAUGGGUACUUCUUCUCCCCCUAAGUAUGUUCACCUACAGACAUCUCCUUCAACAUCUAUAACAUUCAGAAUUCAGUAACAUUCAGAAUUCAGAAUCACAUUUUGACAUCUCCUUU